GGCGUAAAGCGUGCGUAGGCGGCUUAUUAAGUCGGAUGUGAAAUCCCCGAGCUUAACUUGGGAAUUGCAUUCGAUACUGGUGAGCUAGAGUAUGGGAGAGGAUGGUAGAAUUCCAGGUGUAGCGGUGAAAUGCGUAGAGAUCUGGAGGAAUACCGAUGGCGAAGGCAGCCAUCUGGCCUAAUACUGACGCUGAGGUACGAAAGCAUGGGGAGCAAACAG
RNAcentral lists this ribosomal RNA (219 nucleotides) under Acinetobacter baumannii. RNAcentral's name for it is "partial 16S ribosomal RNA". It matches the Rfam family "Bacterial small subunit ribosomal RNA", at positions 557 to 775 of the family's 1533-position model. The record is from RNAcentral. Lineage: Bacteria; Pseudomonadati; Pseudomonadota; Gammaproteobacteria; Moraxellales; Moraxellaceae.